Molecule: transfer RNA, 58 nt
Filed under: Cebus albifrons (white-fronted capuchin)
Lineage: Eukaryota; Metazoa; Chordata; Mammalia; Primates; Cebidae
Also listed under: 2 other names
Description: tRNA-Val
Source: RNAcentral
CAAAGUGUAGCUUAAAUUAAAGCAUCUGGCCUACACCCAGAAGAUCUCACAACAACCG